Long non-coding RNA from Cyprinus carpio carpio, 703 nucleotides. The record is from Ensembl. Lineage: Eukaryota; Metazoa; Chordata; Actinopteri; Cypriniformes; Cyprinidae.
UAGGUGGCAGGUGGGCAGCGUCAGGGCCAGGGGAGGUAGUGGCACCGCGGUAAAGCCCCAAAGCCCCGUGGGACGCUGGGAUCAGGAGGAGGGGUCACGAUCCGUCCCGCCCGCCCGCCUAACCGCUGCACCUCAGCAGGCCUGACAUGCACGCUCAGGGGGGGCGACCAACAAUACAGCAAGCCUGCACUGUAAUUAAAGCCUGGUCCAGACGUGAGACCGCGGCUGACACGGCAUGGGAUGGAGCAGAGACCCAGCAGACUGAUGUACAUAAAACGAGUGCAAAACGAACAGACAGAAACAGACGCGCAUGAGUAAUGGACGCCGCUGCAGACUCACCUAAUAAGUAUGAAUCUGUUUGGCUGCUGGUUUGAUCGUCAUCCGAAGCGAGUCCUGAGCUCAUCAGUGUCAUGGCCUUGAGCGAGAUACUUAACCUCCAGUUCCUCCAGAGGGACUGAACCUGUAAUAACUUCAUGGCUCUUCUGUGAAUGAUACCACCGUGGUUUCACUCUGGUCCAGCUGAGUGAAUUAACAUGGUCCCAGGCUGCAGAUUAUAUAGCACGUUAACCACUGAAAGAGAUGUGCACCGUUCAGGAAAAAAUCAAUCAAGAUUAGCUUCUCCACCUCUCAAUGGAGCACUGUGAACCUCCUCAGGGGGUAAAGCUCCAAUCCAAGAGCUGAGAGAGAGAGACAGAUACGGUAC